RNAcentral lists this ribosomal RNA (372 nucleotides) under uncultured eukaryote. RNAcentral describes it as "partial 18S ribosomal RNA". It matches the Rfam family "Eukaryotic small subunit ribosomal RNA", at positions 592 to 975 of the family's 1831-position model. The record is from RNAcentral.
CAAUAGCGUAUAUUAAAGUUGUCGCAGUUAAAAAGCUCGUAGUUGAAUUUUUGCUUGCCGCCGAUGUCGGAACUUCCGUACGUUCGGCGGCGUGCAUCCUUGGGUGGAACCUGUGUGGCAUUAGGUUGUCGUGCAGGGGAUGCUCAUCGUUUACUGUGAAAAAAUUAGAGUGUUCAAAGCAGGCUUACGCCGUUGAAUAUAUUAGCAUGGAAUAAUAAGAUAGGACCUUGGUACUAUUUUGUUGGUUUGCGCACCGAGGUAAUGAUUAACAGGGACAGUUGGGGGUAUUCGUAUUCCAUUGUCAGAGGUGAAAUUCUUGGAUUUCUGGAAGACGAACUACUGCGAAAGCAUUUACCAAGGAUGUUUUCAUUA